RNAcentral lists this ribosomal RNA (124 nucleotides) under uncultured bacterium. RNAcentral describes it as "partial 16S ribosomal RNA". The record is from RNAcentral.
GCCGGAGCUUAUUCAUAGGGUACCGUCAUUAUCUUCCCCUAUAAAAGAGUUUUACAACCCGAAGGCCUUCAUCACUCACGCGGCAUUGCUGGAUCAGGGUUUCCCCCAUUGUCCAAUAUUCCCC